GAUGAACGCUAGCGGCAGGCUUAACACAUGCAAGUCGAGGGGCAGCAUAAUGGAUAGCAAUAUCUAUGGUGGCGACCGGCGCACGGGUGCGUAACGCGUAUGCAACCUACCUUUAACAGGGGGAUAACACUGAGAAAUUGGUACUAAUACCCCAUAAUAUCAUAGAAGGCAUCUUUUAUGGUUGAAAAUUCCGAUGGUUAGAGAUGGGCAUGCGUUGUAUUAGCUAGUUGGUGGGGUAACGGCUCACCAAGGCGACGAUACAUAGGGGGACUGAGAGGUUAACCCCCCACACUGGUACUGAGACACGGACCAGACUCCUACGGGAGGCAGCAGUGAGGAAUAUUGGUCAAUGGACGCAAGUCUGAACCAGCCAUGCCGCGUGCAGGAUGACGGCUCUAUGAGUUGUAAACUGCUUUUGUACGAGGGUAAACGCAGAUACGUGUAUCUGUCUGAAAGUAUCGUACGAAUAAGGAUCGGCUAACUCCGCG
RNAcentral lists this ribosomal RNA (488 nucleotides) under uncultured bacterium. Its description in RNAcentral is "partial 16S ribosomal RNA". It matches the Rfam family "Bacterial small subunit ribosomal RNA", at positions 28 to 507 of the family's 1533-position model. The record is from RNAcentral.